This is a long non-coding RNA of Acinonyx jubatus (cheetah), 8901 nucleotides long. RefSeq lists it as uncharacterized. The record is from RefSeq and is a predicted model, not a curated record. The transcript is spliced from 6 exons. NCBI's taxonomy places the organism in Eukaryota, Metazoa, Chordata, Mammalia, Carnivora, Felidae.
UGUAUCUAUGUAUCUAUCUAUGUAUCUAUCUAUCAUCUAUCUAUAAAAUAUGUUUAUUAUAUAUUUAUUAUGAGGAGUUGUCUUAUGUGAUUGUGGAGCUCAAGUAGUUCUGCAAUCUACCAUCUACAAGCUGUAGAUCCAGAAAACCCUGGUAUAAAUUCUAGUCUGAGUCUGAAGCCCUGAGAGCCAGGAGCGCCAAUGAUGUAAGUCCCAUUCAAGGGCAAGAGAAGACCAAUGUCUCAGCUCAAGCAGUCAGCCAGUGCCCACCCACACUGGGGAGGGCCAUCUGCUUUACUCAACCCAGUGAUUCAAAUGCCAGUGUCUUCUUGAAUCACCCUCACAGACACACCCAGAACAAAUGUUUAACUAGAUACCUGGGCAUCCUGUGGCCCAGUCAAGUUGACACAUAAAAUUAACUCACAGGUCCACUCCUGGUAAACGUGGCACCUAUAUGCAUCUCCAAAAUGUACUUAGUCUCCAAAGAAGGAUAAUAACAAGGUCAUAAUUCUACCUAACGUAAUAUAACUGAAAACAUAGUAACUCCUUCCUCAGAGAGGAGGCAAAGAAAUUGAGUGAUGUUGACUCUCCUUCCUGAUAUUCUAUAACUUAAGUACUGUGAUGUAAAAUUAAUAAUACUUAAAUACUAUGAUAUAAAGUCAAUAAUUUUAUGUUGCAUGAUAUAGAGAUAGCAAAGAAAAUGAUGAUAUUUGCAAAUACACAACACACACUUGUAACAGAAUAAAGAGGAAAUACUCAUGGCAGUCACAGUCCUCAUUUCUGUAACUGGUCAUGUGGUUCUACCUGGCAUUUAUAACUUCUUUCUUCUGCUACCCAAUCUGUACUCCCUUCACCUUCAGCAAGCACCUCAGCUAGUGGUGGUUUUCUUACCUGAUGGAGUGACCCAUAUCUUUAUUGCUGAAUGGUAUGGACCAUUAGUAGUCCUUCCUGGAUUGGGUUGUUGUAGUUUUUCAUUGACCUUAAUCACAGGGCAUAGUAAUACUAUGAGAUGUACUAAAGGAGCUCCUGUAUUCCAGACAUAUUCUUCUUUACCUUCAUUGUGGAGUAGUAGUCCAAUUUUUCUUUGGCAAUCAGGUUCCAUCACCCCAUCCAGCACGGUUAUUUCUUCUCUUCCUGUUGACUCAGAGGCAUAAGGAGCCCAAAGUGGCCAGAUGGCAGGUGACUCUAGCCAAAUAAUUGGACAAAACCCAUGAAUCAGUAUAUAAUCACACAUCUGGCCAUUUUUGCUUCUAGGCAAAGUGAACAGCUGAGCGCAUUGCUCAAAGUUCUGCCCUCUGGGAGGAUUUCCCUUAACCACUGUCCUUCAGGGCUAUCCCAGAGAGGCAUUGAUGACAUUAUACUGAUUGGACCAAAUAAGAAAGAAAGAACAGCUAGUCUUCAAGCACCACUGGAUGUGCUGGAUCAUAUGGCUCAAGUAGCACAGCAGCCCAGGCCUGUUGCAGAAUCUUUUCUUGUUCUAGGAUCCACUCAGCUCUGGCAGCUUUUGGGUCAGUCAGUAAAUGUACUAGAGUAACAUCCCCAAUUGAGGAACAUGUUGCCUCCAAAAUCUAAAGAGGUCCAGUAGGCAUUGUGCCUUUCAUGGUUGUAGGAGGGGCCAGAUGCAACAACUUAUCCUUCACCUUAGAUGGGACAUGUUGAUAUGCUCUAGCACUGGCCUCCUAAAAAUUUCACUGAGGUCCUUGAAUUUAUUCAGAUUUCUUUCCCACCUUCUGAUAUGCAAAUGUCUUGCCAAUAGGUUUGGACUAGCUGCUAUUUCUUUCUUAUUUGGUCCAAUCAGUGUAAUGUCAUCAACGCAAUGAGUUGGUGUGAUAUAGAAGAGAAAGGUGAUUGAGAUCUCGGUGAACUAAAUUACAACUUAAAUUCCACUUGAUCAUGGUAUAUGGUCCUUUAAAUGUGCUGUUGAAUUUGGUUUGGUAAUACUUUGUUGAAGAUUUUCACAUCUAUGUUUAUCAGGAAAAUUGGUCUGUAAUUUUCUUUUCUUGGGGCUUCCUUUCUGGAUUUGGUAUCAGGGUAAUUCUGCCUUCAUAAAAUGAUUUUGGAAGUGUUCCCUUCUUUUCUCUAUUUUUUGGAAGAGUUUGAAAGGAUUGGUAUUAAUUCUUCUUUAAGUGUUGUGUAUAAUUCACCAGUGAAGCUGUCUUGUCCUGGACUUUUGUUUGUUGGCAGGUUUUUGAUGACUAAUUCAAUCUUCUUACUAGUAAUUGGUCUUGUCAUUUAUUCUCAUAAUAUUUCCUUAGUCCAAAAGCCUAUCACUACUAUCUGAUAUACCAGUUUAUCUACUCUGUUAAUCACAUGCCAAAGUACAGCUUUUAUCAUUUUACUACCUUGAUCAACAACUUCUUUUGGCUACCCACUAUCUUCCAGAUACAGUAUAACUUGAUUUGUCGUUCAACAUUUGGCCCUCUGCUAUUUAACCAUCUUUAUUUCUUAAUAAAACAUUUCUGUUAUAGUCCGAUAGGGUUUUAUUCUUUUACAGAAUAAAACAUUACAGAAUGUUAUAGACUGGGAACUGACUAGGCCACAAGUCCUGCCAUAAGCCUGCCUACCCUCAUCCGCAGGCCUGUGCAGAACCUCUGAGCGUUGGAUGUGAGGUAAUUAAUGAUUUUCUUAUGAUUCCACUGGGAUCAAGGUAAAGAUAAAUUCCUACUGCCCCUCUACUCUCUGAAAAACAAGUCCUCGUUAACCUAUCCUUCAGGCUAAUAAUAAGCAAUUUUCCAGGCUCUCCAGCUCCAAGAUAGAGCUUCUUUUUGACCACUGUGCAUUUAGGAAGGUGUUAGGGCAUUGGUCAAUUUAAUCCUCUGGAUUUACCUCUGAGACUAUUUGGAGGAAGUGAUAGGUAAUGUAGAAGGAUUCCUUAUCUUAUGUUUUUUGGUGGCUCCCAAAUUGAAAAAGAAGCUAUGAGUCACAUGUAUUUAUAAAAUUGUGUUCUCCAAAUUUAUCUUGCUUUCAGGAUAACCACAUAAUUCAAUAAAUAAAAUCCAGGACAGUUUGUCCAGAAGAAAUACAAAUAAGUAAGGACGUUUUGUUGAGAAAAUAAAGUUUGACUUUUACUUAAAGUAAAAUGAAGAAGCAAAUGCCAUUUCUCAUGUCAUGACUUGGCAAGUUUACACACACACACACACACACACACACACACACAUAAUGAAUCCCAUUGUCUUUCUCUCAUAUUGUUCUUGACUCUAUCCAUGUUUUCUAUUGUCCCAGUUUUAGGGAUACCUGUAAAAAAUGAGUAAGAAAGAGAAAUUCAACAAGUGAUCAUUCCCAGAGUGCAGCCAUACAAAAUUGCUUAUCAGAAAGUUGUUCUCUGUCAGGGGCCUGGAAGAAAGCUCGCGAUUAGCUCACAGGUUACCACUAUAUCCAGCUGACUGUGCAUUCUCUAGUCACACACUUAGGUAAUCUGAAGGAUAAUGGUGGCAUUGGGGACUAAAUCUAGUAGUAAUAAAACACUAUUAGAAAAUCUUUGUUACAAUCUCAGAGUGUCUUGAGGGUUCCAGAAAAAGUGCCUGGUCUUGUAUUUUAUGCUUUAAAACUAGGGCUGUGCAGGGACAAUUCCAAUUAAGCAAUCCUCCUGGCUUCUUUCCCUGGAAGCCUAUUUCUUUCUUCCCAUCUGUGAUCUUUGUUCUCCUCUUUUCUGGUAAAACUGUUUUAGCCGGGUCAGCCAAGCUAAAUGUCCCUGAUUUACCAGCAGAGCCCUGGCUCUCACGAUGGGGUCAAAGGGCAGGGUACAGAAUUGCAAAACAGUGAUCCUGAGCCCUUUAAAGCAGUUCUAGUCCCUGAAGCACUCUAUCCUAAAGUAAACAUGAGUUGAGAAAUGAUUAAAUGUACAAAUAAUAGUAAGGCAAGCAACAGGAGGAGGAAUCUGUUGAUUUCUUCAAUAGUACUUGAACAUGCUUUUCCUCUGUAACUCUAGUUCCCUGAGACCGCUCCACAAGUAUUUCUCCCUUGGGUGAUAUGCCUGCGUUUGAACCAUAAAGAUGAACCACAGAGGGCCAUUGGAGGACUGACUGUCAAGAGAGGCCUCCGGGGGGGCUGGUGGCAAUUCUGAGAGGGAAUAGUAGUCGUUGGGAGGGCUUAAUAGAAAUAAUUGUUGGGGAGAACUAAGAGAUCUACGUUUUUCCUGCCACACAACCUGACUGUGGCUCAACUGCAGGGACUGUGAGGCAGGCACAGCAGGAGCGCCAGCUGCUGAGCUGGGAUCUUCUGAAUGGAGAGGUCGCCUCUUUUUCAGCCCCCCAAGGAGGGCAGCAGCAUUCACGGGAUCAGGAACACAGCCCCACGGAGGGCACCUGGGUGGCUCAGUCGUUAAGCAUCUGACUUCAGUUCAAGUCAUGACCUCAUGCUGAGUUUGAGUCCCACUUUGGGUGAGCUCGAGCCCCACUUCCGAUCAGACAAAAAGGCAACACAGAGAAUUUAAGUGAAUUGUCCAGCAUCACAGAGCAGAGCCAAGGGAUGCCAGAUUCUCAAAUAAGAAGAUGGCAGUCAGUCUCACAUCAUCCUGCUCCUGUGACGACAGAUGCAUGUCAUGGACUGAGAAACAUUAUGUUGACCACAAAACUCAUAGGUGAUUAUUGCAGGCUCCGAUCCAAGAGAAUUAUCAUCACUGGACCAACAACAGCCUGGGGAACCUAACAAACAGAAGAUACAUCAUUGGAAGAUACAGCAUUGAGUGGGAGCCAAGAAAGCAGUUUUGAGGACAAGAUGAGAAUUAAAAAGUAAUGUUGAUAACACUGGAGAAGGUAGCUGGAAACAAGCAGAAAGCUGCUGUCAAAGGAAACUAAAAAAUACAAAACUGGAGAAUUAUUGACUGUGGGUAUAUAUUACAGACUAAAAUCCAGAAGUCUAUACAGUUAACGGAUUGUCAAAGAGUCAGGAGGAAAGGGCAAGAGUUAAAAAAAAAAAAAAUUGGAGUGGAUAAAUAAAAAAAUCAGACCUGAGAGGUAAUUUUUCUUCAGGUUGUAUUCAAUACUCUGCAGGCCACAUCUAGAGAUACAACACAGUCACUGGCUUGUAAAAUAUUUAAGGAGCUGAAAAAUUAGGCUUAUUAUGAAUAAUGAAGGAAAUGAAGACUUUUCAGUCUGGAGACUAGAAGGUAGAAAGGCAAUUUAAUCAAGCCUUAAUGUUUAAGAGGAGGAAACCAGCAGUUUUCCAUCUCCUCUGACAACAAACAUGAGGAAACAGUUUUCGAUUAUAAAAAACAGAUAUAAGUUGGAGGUGAAAGAGAUUUUACACUGAUGACGGUGAAUAAGCCAAAAAUAAUAAUAAAAUCUAGUUUUCUGGAAGGUAUAAAGGAAAAUGACUUUCCUCUGUUCUAGGGUCACCAACUGAUCUUUUUUGAAAUUUAUUUCUAGGCUAUUGACUAGAUUGGGGGUUGGCAAGUUCUUUCUGUAAAGGGCCAGACAGUAACUAAUUUAGACUUUGGGGGCCAUAUGGUUUCUGUAACAGCUAAUCAACUCUGCAGAUGAAGUGUGAAAGCAACCAUAGACAAUAUGUAACCGGUGAGCGUGGCUGUGCUCCGAAUAAAACCUAAUUUAUGAAGAGAUGCUCGGGGCGGGAUUUGGCCCACUGGCUAUAGUUUAUACCGACUCCUCGAUGAAGUGAACCACACAAGCAUUUUGAACCUUUGAAUCUUGAUGUGGAAAAGAGUGUUGGAGAUGACAAGGUCUUUACUGGGGCCUUUGUUCUGUGUUGAGUUCUGCGGUAAUUUUUGGGAAUGACACAGGAGAGAGAGGAAAGCUGUGAAAGGGAAUAUACGUGAGGGUAUUGCCCUUAUGGGCAAGUGGAGCUCAAUCCUUGUGAUGGGUGAGGAAGCUGGGAAGUUUAUUUGCAAACUUGUGUUUCUUAUUGUUUAUUUCCUGUUUGUUCUCAUUUGUCUGGCCCACCCUGCUCAGAGCAAUCCUGAUUCCCAGGCCAGAGAGUACCCUCAGGCCGAGAGAGAGGCAAGAAGCCAGCAGCCUGCAUAAGAACUGUACAAGUGACCUCUGUGCAGGUGACCUGUGUGCGGGUGACCACAGGGGAAGGCCAAGGAAUAUGGAUGGGACACCAGCAUUGCCUGCUACCAGCACCACCUGAAUCUCUUUCUGUUCACUCACUCCUGGGAGGGCAGAAUUCUGAACAGACUCACUUACGUCUUCAAAGAAGGUUCUAGUUUGCAGCACUAUUUCUUUGAAGUAGAAGCUCACAUCCCGGUCUGUGAGCAGCUCCAGGAUCUUUUUUAGAGCCUUCAAGCUUUCACAGACAACCUCGGUGCGGGCCAGGUGAUAUAGGCCUCUGAUGAUAGAUUCCAGUAUUAUCUGCUUAUGCUUCUUCACCUAUUUGGAAAUAAGGUCUCGUAAUCUUGAAAAUUGCUCUCUGUGUAUCUAGAAUAGGGUAGGAGACUCCCAAGGAAACUGGAAUUCUGUUAGGGUCACAUAUACUUCAACUCCAGAGAUACCACUGUAGCAAUUUCUUUUGGAUUUUUACUUAAUUGCUAUACAAGCACGAGAUGUGGGUUAGUAAAUAAUUAUUUUAAACUCUGAUUAAGUGUCCCCCGCACCUACCCCAACUCCCUUUACCUUGUGAGGGGCUCCAGAAGUUGUAUUACCAAGCCCUCGGAUGGCCAUUUGCCUCAAAAUGGCGUUGGAGUCCCAGGCACUCUGAUCCAUCAGGAUCAGCACUUCCCGUAGAUUCCCAUGCUUCCAAAGGAUCGGCUCCUUCAUGAGCUGAAAACAACCACUUCACCCCUUUAGUUAAAGGAGUGGCCUCUCUUCAGGAGAAUGAUAAGUGCAUCAUAACUAUAGUUAAAGACUAGCACCCGGCUGCUCUUGGAGCCGGGGAGAAAGCCCUCAGGUGAAUCAGCAAGUCUGGCAGAAAGGAAUCUCUCUAUUUGAGCAGCCCACAGACCAAGAUUACAUGGUGAUGAGAACCACACUACCCAGUUAAGUAGGAUGUCUCUAAUCUAAAUGGAAAAACAGGAAAACGGGAGUUACUGGCAAUGUUCUUUCUCCGGGUUGUCUGGGACAACCUUUAUGGCAGGGUGUGAGGGGACAAUAAUAUAGUUCUUGGUAACUUUUUGUUUUGUCCCUGUCAUAUCUAUCGUCCACCCUUCUCUGUCCUGGGAGGUUGGUUCCGGCAGACUGGAGCGAAGGAAGAGGUUUGGGUGAGUUCUUUUUCCUCUCUCGUUCCCUUCUCAGGUACUGUAUUUCUGGCAGCGGCUGAAUCUCAGUACUACCAAAACUCUCCUGAAAGGCCCUCUUCUGUGGUUCCAGCUCCCACUGAACUGCUGACCCUAAGAGAAAUGCCCCCAAGGGGACCCAGAGAGCCUGCUGGGCAGUGACAUGACUGUUCUCUCUUGCCUCAGAGAAGAAAGCUGUGCCGGUUAUCCGGUAGUUCUCUGAGGAGGAGGUGAGAGAUGCAAACAGUUGCUCCAUGAUGUCUAGUAUGACUCCAUGUUGCCACAGCGCCAUGCUCCUAGAAAAUGCAAGGCUCCAAUUGUAGCAGAGACUUUUUUCUUUCUAAACAAUGGAGGAGAUUUUAGUCUAUUUCUCUCUCAGGGAAAUAAAUGAUCUCAAAAGGAAUGUUCCAUGAAAGAGCACUAAGGAUUUGGGCUCUUCCCACCGUCCCUUCCCAUCUGCCUUUGCUCUUUCUUCCCUCUUUUUUCCCCUGGACUACAGAUCCUUGGUGAGUCCAUUGCUUCCAGUAAAGUUGCCUACAUGGCAGUUUUUACUCUGUUUUUAAUUUUUCUCCUUUGUAUCCAGUUCUCGAAUGUCCACACAUUACCUGGCCAGUGCACAUACUCCUACAUGGUGGGUACUGGGGCUGCUGAGAAGGGUCCAUAAGUUGUCCCCCUCAUCAGAUUCCUUGGCAAGGCCCUCUUUCAUGGCUUGGGCUUGCACACACUUCAGAGUUGUGAUUGAGAGCCUGAAGGAGACAGUGGGCACCACAAAAGUAAGUCAACCCCAUACAGGGAGUUGCGAAUCCCAAGUUCACUCUUUCUGUUCCCCACAAGGCUGCUUCACCCUGGAUUAAUGGAUGUUGUGUGAGGGAAAAAACCAGACAGCCUGAUCUCACACUUCAGUUUUGGGGCCAAAGGGGACACUGAGGUGAUUUGGACCAGUAAAUAAUGCCACAAAAUUUUGUUAACCUCUCAUGAGAAAAUAAAGCCCUAAAGAUGGAAAGUGCCAAAUACUGUAUUUCACUGAUUCUGAAACAGCCCUUCAGAAGCAGGAUGCGGCUUGCAAUGGAUAGUGUGUUAUGACAGUUGGCCAGACAGUGGUUGUGGUGUAGUUGUUAUUACCAGUGCGUGCACACGAACAUGCAUGGAUUUAGGCACGGUUGUUUAUACUGUUGUCAUUUUGGUAACAUUGUGUUAUUGGAACUACAUGUGUUGGGUCUAACCGUUGUUUAAAAUGUCUUUACAAAGUGGAUUUGAGGGGUGCCCGGGUAGCUCAGUCUGUUAAGCGUCUGACUUCAGCUCAGGUCAUGAUCUCACAGUCUGUGAGUUUGAGCCCCGCGUCGGGCUCUGUGCUGACAGCUCAGAGCCUGGAGCCUGCUUUGGAUUCUGUGUCUCCCUCUCUCUCUACCCCUCCCCACUCACACUCUGUUCCUCAGAAUGAAUAAACGUGAAAAAAAAUGAUUAAAAAAAAAAACUAAGGUGGAUUUGACAUUGGAAUGAAAAGUUAUGCAAAAGGGCACAGAAACAGAGCGUUGUGAUGUAGGAUCAAAAUGUGCACCUAAUAAUUCUCAAAGAGCUCUUUGAAUAAAUACAUAGUAAAACAUUUAAAGUAUCACAAAGCAUUGAUUCAUGGCUUAAUCAGGAUUCUUUCUUUCUUUUUCAAUAGUGCACAAAAUAAUUUUGCUUCCUUCAAUUGGCGAUACCUUAAAUUUAAUAAAAUAUGGUAUUUAUUUCUA